This 111-nucleotide ribosomal RNA is filed under the name Octodon degus (degu). The record is from RNAcentral. Lineage: Eukaryota; Metazoa; Chordata; Mammalia; Rodentia; Octodontidae.
GUCUACGGCCAUACCACCCUGAACGCGCCGGAUCUCGUCAGAUCUCAGAAGCUAAGCAGGGUUGGGGCUGGUUAGUACUUGGAUGGGAGAAAGGGGAAGUUGUUGUACAAG